GAUGAACGCUAGCUACAGGCUUAACACAUGCAAGUCGAGGGGCAGCGGGAUUGAAGCUUGCUUCAAUUGCCGGCGACCGGCGCACGGGUGAGUAGCGCGUAUCCAACCUUCCGUACACUCAGGGAUAGCCUUUCGAAAGAAAGAUUAAUACCUGAUGGUAUCUUAAGCACACAUGUAAUUAAGAUUAAAGAUUUAUCGGUGUACGAUGGGGAUGCGUUCCAUUAGGUAGUAGGCGGGGUAACGGCCCACCUAGCCAACGAUGGAUAGGGGUUCUGAGAGGAAGGUCCCCCACAUUGGAACUGAGACACGGUCCAAACUCCUACGGGAGCAGCAGUGAGGAAUAUUGGUCAAUGGACGAGAGUCUGAACCAGCCAAGUAGCGUGAAGGAUGACUGCCCUAUGGGUUGUAAACUUCUUUUAUACGGGAAUAAAGUGAGGCACGUGUGCCUUUUUGUAUGUACCGUAUGAAUAAGGAUCGGCUAACUCCGUGCCAGCAGCCGCGGU
Molecule: ribosomal RNA, 503 nt
Filed under: uncultured bacterium
Lineage: Bacteria
Description: bacterial SSU rRNA
Rfam family: Bacterial small subunit ribosomal RNA
Source: RNAcentral